RNAcentral lists this ribosomal RNA (378 nucleotides) under uncultured bacterium. RNAcentral's name for it is "bacterial SSU rRNA". It matches the Rfam family "Bacterial small subunit ribosomal RNA", at positions 362 to 758 of the family's 1533-position model. The record is from RNAcentral.
UAUUGGACAACGGGCGCAAGCCUGAUCCAGCAAUUCCGCGUGGGUGAAGAAGGUCUUCGGAUUGUAAAGCCCUUUCGACAGGGACGAUGAUGACGGUACCUGUAGAAGAAGCCCCGGCUAACUUCGUGCCAGCAGCCGCGGUAAUACGAAGGGGGCUAGCGUUGCUCGGAAUGACUGGGCGUAAAGGGCGCGUAGGCGGCACAACUAGUCAGGCGUGAAAUUCCUGGGCUUAACCUGGGGGCUGCGUUUGAUACGGUUGGGCUAGAGGAUGGAAGAGGCUCGUGGAAUUCCCAGUGUAGAGGUGAAAUUCGUAGAUAUUGGGAAGAACACCGGUGGCGAAGGCGGCGAGCUGUCCAUUACUGACGCUGAGGCGCGAAA